ACUCCUACGGGAGGCAGCAGUGGGGAAUAUUGGACAAUGGGCGAAAGCCUGAUCCAGCCAUGCCGCGUGUGUGAAGAAGGUCUUCGGAUUGUAAAGCACUUUAAGUUGGGAGGAAGGGCGAGUAAGUUAAUACCUUGCUGUUUUGUACGUUACCAACAGAAUAAGCACCGGCUAACUUCGUGCCAGCAGCCGCGGUAAUACGAAGGGGUGCAAGCGUUAAUCGGAAUUACUGGGCGUAAAGCGCGCGUAGGUGGUUCAGCAAGUUGGAUGUGAAAUCCCCGGGGCUCAACCUGGGAACUGCAUCCAAAACUACUGAGCUAGAGUACGGUAGAGGGUGGUGGAAUUUCCUGUGUAGCGGUGAAAUGCGUAGAUAUAGGAAGGAACACCAGUGGCGAAGGCGACCACCUGGACUGAUACUGACACUGAGGUGCGAAAGCGUGGGGAGCAAAC
Molecule: ribosomal RNA, 450 nt
Filed under: uncultured bacterium
Lineage: Bacteria
Description: bacterial SSU rRNA
Rfam family: Bacterial small subunit ribosomal RNA
Source: RNAcentral